CAGUUGGCAAUGCAACAGUCUCAUUUUCCC
This 30-nucleotide non-coding RNA is filed under the name Cricetulus griseus (Chinese hamster). The record is from RNAcentral. Lineage: Eukaryota; Metazoa; Chordata; Mammalia; Rodentia; Cricetidae.